RNAcentral lists this long non-coding RNA (209 nucleotides) under Mytilus galloprovincialis (Mediterranean mussel). The record is from RNAcentral. Lineage: Eukaryota; Metazoa; Mollusca; Bivalvia; Mytilida; Mytilidae.
CGUCGUUAGGUUACUGUUUUGUUGGUGUUUAUCAGAAAUCUAAUUAUUAUAUUCAUGUAAAAAUGUAAGUGCCGUACACAUUCAAAAUACGUCAGUGCAAUUUGCCAUAUCCAUAUAUAGGCACGUUAUGUACCUAUUGCUAAAGAUACAUUGAAUUUUGAGGACAUGUCCAGAAUGAUUGAUGAUUUUCGUACUUUCUUAAUAAUUUG